CCCCCUUUUCCCCCAUUUCAGGGCCAUUUAUUUUCUCAACACAGGCACUGGGGAGGGAAAGGAGGACAAUUAAAGCACUGCAAAGAACCCCAUUAUUUCACGGCACUACAAGGGAAAAAUCGGUUAAAUUUUGCCCCUCUAGUUCCCCAAAUCUGACUCUGGCCCCUUACACAUGAUGGAGGUGAACAAGGCAAAGAUGGGAGCAGCUUCCAGCUGGGGCAGCUUGUGCCGGGAACUGAGCGCAGGAACACCCAGGGGCAGUUCAAGGGCAGGCAGCUUCACCCCGUGCCAUGGCCAGCCGCCAGCACUCCUUUCUCCUUGCCAGGAGGGCAGCAUGGCCACAUCAGCCACACAAAACCCCUGUGCUGACACUGGCCAGAGCUUCAUCUCUUGGUGUUGAAGGGACAAAACCCGCCCAGGAGGCAAUGGGUGAGCCACCACAGGCUGUGGUCAUGAAGACUUUUGGAGGACCAGAUGAGACCUGUGAGGUGAGAUCACCUUCCAAUGACCCAUUAGGCCUUCCCCCUCUCUCUCCCUGUGAAAAAAAAGGUGCAAAGUGAAAAUAUUGUCAUUUCUUCUUGGGAAAGCAAAGUUCUAGUACCUGCUCCUAGUUUUGGAGUUGAUCCCUGCUUUCCAGGGAAGCCAGUGAAGGGGCUUUUUUAGGGGGAUUAUUUGCUUUCCUCCUCCAAAUAAUGUAAGAUUUUGAAGGCAGGAUUACACAAACAAGCUGAUUGCUUCACUUGUGGGUUGUUUUGUUGCUUUAGUUGUUAUUGUUUUUGUUUGUUUGUUUUUGGUGGGGGUUUUUGUUCGGGGUUUUUUUGUUUGUUUGUUUGGGUUUUUUUUUGUGGUUUUUUUUUUUUUGCUUGUUUGUUUUUUUGUUUUUUGGUGUAUUCAGGAGAAAAUCCAGUCUCACCUGCAAUCCCUAAGGAAGGUGUUGGCAGAAUUUCUGGACUGGAGAGUGAAUGAAGAGAAGGGAAACCAGGACUACCUGGUACAGGGUAUCCCCUCUGUUCUUCAGCAGUCUGAAUGAGUCUUUAGGUAUUUAUUUUUCCCUAAGCCCCUCUUGAAGAAACACAGGGGAUCCUUUCCAAGAGGCAUCCUGGCGCCCCGCAGAGCCCUACAUCCAGCUGGAGUGGUUAGUGCAGAUCCUGGGCAGGUUUGGCAAGCACCACCUCCAUGUGCAGCUGCUUAUUAUCCACACUUUAAAUCAAUGUCAUGGCACUGCUCAUUUUCAUCCCAGACUAAGUCAUAAAGGGACAUUUGUUAACAUGGGAUUUACACUCCCCCCUGCUUCUCAGGGCCUGGAUCGGUUUUGGACAGAAUAUAGAGAGGAAUGGCAACGGGAGGGAAAAGGAGAACCGUGGGGUGAAGUACGUAAUUACCGUACAGUCCCUAAUCAGCUGCAUCCCUGGCCCUGCCCCAGUGUUGCAGCCACCCUGGCUUCAGCAGAAGCACUUUUGAAAAUUCAGGUCUGGGGGUUGCAGGUGGAUUUCUUGUCUCCUCCAGCAGAUAAGUGAAGCCGAGCGGCGCCGCAUUGAGGCUGAGUUUGAGCGGCUGCGCCGGCUGCUGGCGGAGCAGGAGCGCGCCGCUGGGGCGGCUGGCUGAGCUGGACAACACCUUUGCAACUACCCACGCUGAAAAAUCAUUGCGGGGGGCCGAGGGGGUUGCACAGCUCCACAGACUCAUCGGGCAGCUGAAGGCCAGGUGCUUGCCCCAGGAUGUUGGGAGCAUCCUAAGCAGAUAUGUGGCAACUGGUUGCUUCAUGUCCCUAUCACUCCAGCUGCGGAGGGGUGCUUGGCUGCUACAUCCACCACAUAACAUCUGUCCCUGGAAUUUCUUUUCCCAACUUGAGUGAAUGAGGCUCCACCUCCCCUCGGGGCUCCUCAAGGAGCUGGAGAAGAGCCUAAGCUCCUUCUGCCACCAAAGCGAUGCUCUGUGGGAGGCCCUGGAGAAGUUCAGAGACACAGAUCCCCCCGUGGGUCUCCCCACAGCAAAGACAACGCUGGAGACUGUCAUGACUCCUCUCCCACAGUUUUUGGCAGAGAGAAAAAGUGUGCGGUGGGAUGAGGAGGAGGAGCAGGAUGAGGCCAGAGAGCCCUGCUGAGGCCGGGAGCUGCUAGUAGCUUUCAGAGGGUCAUUGCCAGGAGAUGCAGGACGUGGACACAGUAGAUGGACUCUGCAAGAUGCCACCUGGGCAACCUCACCCUAGGUGCCCAUCCUCCUAGGGAGACAAAUGGUUUUAUGAAAAGCUCCCCUCCCAGCUGCUGUAAUUAGUAACCAAUUUUGUGUUGCUGCUCACCAUGUAGGUCAUGAAUUAAAGAAAAAAAAAAAACAAAAAAAAAAA
Long non-coding RNA from Haemorhous mexicanus (house finch), 2344 nucleotides. RefSeq lists it as uncharacterized. NCBI's taxonomy places the organism in Eukaryota, Metazoa, Chordata, Aves, Passeriformes, Fringillidae. The transcript is spliced from 4 exons. The record is from RefSeq and is a predicted model, not a curated record.